RNAcentral lists this ribosomal RNA (434 nucleotides) under uncultured Blautia sp. RNAcentral describes it as "partial 16S ribosomal RNA". It matches the Rfam family "Bacterial small subunit ribosomal RNA", at positions 341 to 792 of the family's 1533-position model. The record is from RNAcentral. Lineage: Bacteria; Bacillati; Bacillota; Clostridia; Lachnospirales; Lachnospiraceae.
ACGGGAGGCAGCAGUGGGGAAUAUUGCACAAUGGGGGAAACCCUGAUGCAGCGACGCCGCGUGAGCGAUGAAGUAUUUCGGUAUGUAAAGCCCUAUCAGCAGGGAAGAUAAUGACGGUACCUGACUAAGAAGCCCCGGCUAACUACGUGCCAGCAGCCGCGGUAAUACGUAGGGGGCAAGCGUUAUCCGGAUUUACUGGGUGUAAAGGGAGCGCAGACGGAAUGGCAAGUCUGAAGUGAAAUGUAGGGGCUCAACCCCUGAACUGCUUUGGAAACUGUCGAUCUUGAGUACCGGAGGGGCAAGCGGAAUUCCAGGUGUAGCGGUGAAAUGCGUAGAUAUCUGGAAGAACACCAGUGGCGAAGGCGGCUUGCUGGACGGUAACUGACGUUCAGGCUCGAAAGCGUGGGGAGCAAACAGGAUUAGAUACCCUGGUA